AAAUGAAUAGACGGGGGCCCGCACAAGCGGUGGAGCAUGUGGCUUAAUUCGAUGCAACGCGAGGAACCUUACCUGGGCUAAAUUCUCGGUGCAACCUCUGGAAACAGGGGGUCCCUUCGGGGCGCCGAGGAAGGUGCUGCAUGGCUGUCGUCAGCUCGUGCCGUGAGGUGUUGCCUUAAGUGGCGCAACGAGCGCAACCCCUGUGGUCAGUUACCAGCACGUUAUGGUGGGGACUCUGGCCAGACUGCCUACGCAAGUAGUGAGGAAGGUGGGGACGACGUCAAGUCAUCAUGGCCCUUACGUCCAGGGCUGCACACGUGCUACAAUGGAUGAUACAGAAGGCUGCCACCCGGCGACGGGGCGCAAAUCCUUAAAGUCAUUCUCAGUUCGGAUUGGAGUCUGCAACUCGACUCCAUGAAGUUGGAAUCGCUAGUAAUCGCGUAUCAGCAAUGGCGCGGUGAAUACGUUCCCGGGCCUUGUACACACCGCCCGU
This 493-nucleotide ribosomal RNA is filed under the name uncultured bacterium. RNAcentral's name for it is "bacterial SSU rRNA". It matches the Rfam family "Bacterial small subunit ribosomal RNA", at positions 903 to 1397 of the family's 1533-position model. The record is from RNAcentral.